CGCCGCGUGAGUGAUGAAGGCUUUCGGGUCGUAAAGCUCUGUCAAGUGGGAAGAACUCAUAUGGUGUUAAUAUCGCCUUAUGCUGACGGUACCACUGAAGGAAGCACCGGCUAACUCCGUGCCAGCAGCCGCGGUAAUACGGGGGGUGCGAGCGUUAUUCGGAAUUACUGGGCGUAAAGAGCGCGUAGGCGGUCUUUUAAGUCAGGUGUGAAAGCCCGGGGCUCAACCCCGGAAGUGCACUUGAAACUAAGAGACUUGAGUAUGGGAGAGGGAAGUGGAAUUCCUGGUGUAGCGGUGAAAUGCGUAGAUAUCAGGAGGAACAUCAGUGGCGAAGGCGACUUCCUGGACCAAUACUGACGCUGAGGCGCGAAGGCGUGGGGAGCAAACAGGAUUAGAUACCC
Molecule: ribosomal RNA, 401 nt
Filed under: uncultured Desulfobacteraceae bacterium
Lineage: Bacteria; Pseudomonadati; Thermodesulfobacteriota; Desulfobacteria; Desulfobacterales; Desulfobacteraceae
Description: bacterial SSU rRNA
Rfam family: Bacterial small subunit ribosomal RNA
Source: RNAcentral